Long non-coding RNA from Biomphalaria glabrata, 531 nucleotides. RefSeq lists it as uncharacterized. NCBI's taxonomy places the organism in Eukaryota, Metazoa, Mollusca, Gastropoda, Planorbidae. The transcript is spliced from 3 exons. The record is from RefSeq and is a predicted model, not a curated record.
GUGUGUACAAUUAGUAGGCUUAGGGCUAGUGCUGGAUGUAACAUAGAAUCUACACAUUUUCACAUGUCUCGGGAAAAAUUGACCAAUCCCUACGUCUUUUAGAUUUAAAUCAAGUUUUGGCACAGAAGCUUAUUGAGUCACUGGCGCCACUGAUGCUCAAGUGAACAGUGAUCCAUGUGUUUGCUAGCAUUCAAACGGGACCCUCCUUUUAUCUAGAUCUAAUCUUUUAAUCUACCAUAAUCUUAUAUCUAUCUCUUGUCAUCUCGUGACAUCUUCGGUUGAAGAUCAAAACACAGAUCUCUUCUUUGUAAUAUAAAAAGGGAACAUCAUACAGAUUGCUAGAGAUUAUUACCUUUGAGAAACAGACAAGAAAUAAAAACACUAUAAAAAAUUGGUGUAUCAAAGAUGCCAGCAUUCUUUAAGGGACAUCAAUGUCUAGUUAUCAGAUGAUUAGAACCAUCACUUGUGAGGAACUGGCCAGAAGGUGAAACAUGUGUUAAGUGCUAUGCCACAAAGUGUUAUUUAAGGCAA